Molecule: long non-coding RNA, 824 nt
Filed under: Apteryx rowi (Okarito brown kiwi)
Lineage: Eukaryota; Metazoa; Chordata; Aves; Apterygiformes; Apterygidae
Description: lncRNA (ENSARWG00000013989.1)
Source: RNAcentral
GGGGGGCAGGAGGGUUUGGGGUGAUUGGGGCAAAGAGUAAUUAGGGGGCAGGAGGAUUUGGGGCAAUUAGGGGCAGGGAAGGUAAUUGGGCAGGAGGUUAAUUGGGGGGCAAGAGGGUUUGGGGCAAUUAGGGGUCCCUGUCACCCGUGGUCCCAUCACUGGUGGGUCCCUGUCACCGGUGGUGUCACGGUGCCCCCCCGUUGCUGGUGGGUCCUUGUCACCAUGUCCACUCGUCACCCAUGGAGUCACCACGUCCCCCCUGUCACCAGUUCUUCCGUGGCGCCCGGUGUCUUUCCGCCCGCCUGUUCCUUUAACACACCCGGAGCAGGGGGUUGUGGUAGGAAGGGGGCCUCGUGACAUCACGCCCAGCCCGGCCAAUGAGCAUCCAGGAGGCCCUGCCGGCAGUGACCCCCCACCGAGGACCCCCGGAGCAACCACACCUAGUCCAUGAGGCCUCCGCUCACAGGUAGGGGGCGCCCCGCUCCGUCGCCGCGGCAACCUGCCCGCUCUAGAACCGCCCGCCUGCCCGCUCUAGAACCGGCCUCCGUCACCUUGACAGCCUGCCUGGUCUAGAACCCCCCUGCCCCAUGGCAGCCCACCUGAUCUAGAACCCUGCCGUCUCCAUGGCAAACUGCCUGCUCUAGAACCMCCCCCCUCACAUCUCCAUGGUAACCCAGCCCCGGUCUAGAACCACCCCCAGCCCUACCUGUUUCUAUGGUAACUCUGAGCACCCCCCCCCAGCACUGCUGGGGUCCAAUCCUGCCCCAUGGCACUGGGGGGUCCUGGCUAUGGGGCUGAAUCCUGCCCCACGGCAAUGCAGGGUG